GGAUAGGUGGCCGAGCGGUUGAAGGCACCGGUCUUGAAAACCGGCAGACGUGUAAGCGUCUCGUGGGUUCGAAUCCCACCCUAUCCGCCA
Molecule: transfer RNA, 90 nt
Filed under: Alphaproteobacteria bacterium
Lineage: Bacteria; Pseudomonadati; Pseudomonadota; Alphaproteobacteria
Description: tRNA-Ser
Rfam family: tRNA
About the family: Transfer RNA (tRNA) molecules are approximately 80 nucleotides in length.
Source: RNAcentral